GUACCUACGGGGCGCAGCAGUAGGGAAUCUUCCACAAUGGGGGGAACCCUGAUGCAGCGACGCCGCGUGGGUGAAGAAGCGCCUCGGCGCGUAAAGCCCUGUCAGCAGGGAAGGAAAUGACGGUACCUGAAGAAGAAGCCCCGGCUAACUACGUGCCAGCAGCCGCGGUAAUACGUAGGGGGCGAGCGUUAUCCGGAUUUACUGGGUGUAAAGGGGGCGCAGACGGCGAUGCAAGCCAGGAGUGAAAGCCCGGGGCCCAACCCCGGGACUGCUCUUGGAACUGCGUGGCUGGAGUGCAGGCGGGG
RNAcentral lists this ribosomal RNA (305 nucleotides) under uncultured bacterium. Its description in RNAcentral is "bacterial SSU rRNA". It matches the Rfam family "Bacterial small subunit ribosomal RNA", at positions 333 to 657 of the family's 1533-position model. The record is from RNAcentral.